AUUGAACGCUGGCGGCAGGCCUAACACAUGCAAGUCGAGCGAGCGGCGGACGGGUGAGUAAUGUAUGGGGACUGCCCGAUAGAGGGGGAUAACUACUGGAAACGGUGGCUAAUACCGCAUACUAUCGGAUAACCCAUAUGGGAUUAGCUAGUAGGUGGGGUAAAGGCUCACCUAGGCGACGAUCUCUAGCUGGUCUGAGAGGAGGAUCACCCACACGGGGACUGGAAAACGUCCCAGCCUCUUAGGGAGGCAGAGGGGGGAAAUAUUGCACAAGGGGGGAAAGCCUGAUGCAGCCAUGCGAGGUGUAGGAAGAAGGCCUUAGGGUUGUAAAGUACUUUCAGCAGGGAGGCGUUACCCGAAGAAGAAGCACCGGCUAACUCCGUGCAAGCAGCGGCGUAAUAC
This 402-nucleotide ribosomal RNA is filed under the name uncultured bacterium. RNAcentral describes it as "partial 16S ribosomal RNA". It matches the Rfam family "Bacterial small subunit ribosomal RNA", at positions 29 to 526 of the family's 1533-position model. The record is from RNAcentral.